UACAGAGGGUGCAAGCGUUGUUCGGAAUUAUUGGGCGUAAAGCGCGUGUAGGCGGCUUUGCAAGUCGGGUGUGAAAGCCCUCAGCUCAACUGAGGAAGUGCGCCCGAAACUGCAGAGCUUGAGUACCGGAGAGGGUGGCGGAAUUCCCCAAGUAGAGGUGAAAUUCGUAGAUAUGGGGAGGAACACCGGUGGCGAAGGCGACAUCCUGGACCGGUAUUGACGCUGAGGCGCGAAAGCCAGGGGAGCAAACGGG
RNAcentral lists this ribosomal RNA (253 nucleotides) under uncultured bacterium. Its description in RNAcentral is "partial 16S ribosomal RNA". It matches the Rfam family "Bacterial small subunit ribosomal RNA", at positions 524 to 776 of the family's 1533-position model. The record is from RNAcentral.